Molecule: ribosomal RNA, 690 nt
Filed under: Triticum aestivum (bread wheat)
Lineage: Eukaryota; Viridiplantae; Streptophyta; Magnoliopsida; Poales; Poaceae
Description: partial small subunit ribosomal RNA
Source: RNAcentral
UUUGUCAAGCCUUUAAAGGAGGAUGUUUUGAACCUUGCAACCAUCCUGGAUUGCUUUGGUCGGGCCACGGGAUUAUGCACAAACUUCCAGAAAAGCUCUGUCGUCACCAUAAGAUGUGGGAGCUUGAACUUGGACGAGAUCCUCCAUGAGCUUCCGGCCUCCCGAGCCUCUUUCCCAGUGAAGUAUUUGGGCCUUCCUCUCUCCGUGUGGCAGCUCAAGAGGGCCGACUACCAAUACCUUGAGGACAAGGUCGCAAGCAACCUUGUCUCUUGGGAAGGUGGGAAUAUCACCACAAAGGGUCGGUGCGUUCUUGUCAAAUCAGUGCUCACCUCGCAGGUGAUCUUUCACGCCACUUCCCUCAUCAUCCCGCCCGGCACGGUUGCUAGCAUCAACAAGAUUGAGAGGGCUUUCCUCUGGUCUGGGACGGAUAAGACGACCGGAGCCAAGUGCAAGGUCAAUUGGGAGACGGUGUGCCGCCCCAAGGAUCUAGGGGGCAUUGGUGUGCUUCAUCUUGGGAAAUUUUCCCGUGCACUAAGAUUACGAUGGCCUUGGUAUGAGUGGAAUGACUCCCAUCGGAUGUGGGUGGGAAUGGGCAAUCCCUGUGACGAGGACGACAUGGACCUCUUCUAUGCUUCGACCACUAUCACUAUUGGCAAUGGGGCUAUUGCGCCUUUUUGGGACUCCCCUUGG